CAUCACAGUACGCCCACCCCCCCAAGGGACGGAUCCCAGACGUCCCAAAUACAAACCGAACAAAAGUCAACCAUGGGAGGGCGGAGGGGGACCGGAGGAGGGACGAACGGAGGAACAAAAAAGUCAAACUAGGCUAGGGAACUGGGGACAGAAAGGCCGCAGACAGCAGGGCCGUGGACAGCAGGGCUGCGGACAGCAGCGAAGACGGAUCCCCACUGGCGGUCGAGCAGGACGUCGAGGACUCUGAGGUGGCUGGCGGCAAAGGCUAAACCCCUCUAGCAGCUGACGGCGAAGGCGAAACCCCUCU
This is a long non-coding RNA of Sander lucioperca (pikeperch), 307 nucleotides long. RefSeq lists it as uncharacterized. The record is from RefSeq and is a predicted model, not a curated record. The transcript has 3 exons. Lineage: Eukaryota; Metazoa; Chordata; Actinopteri; Perciformes; Percidae.